This 463-nucleotide ribosomal RNA is filed under the name Nocardia sp. 13-350. RNAcentral describes it as "bacterial SSU rRNA". It matches the Rfam family "Bacterial small subunit ribosomal RNA", at positions 36 to 516 of the family's 1533-position model. The record is from RNAcentral. Lineage: Bacteria; Bacillati; Actinomycetota; Actinomycetes; Mycobacteriales; Nocardiaceae.
CUGGCGGCGUGCUUAACACAUGCAAGUCGAGCGGUAAGGCCCUUCGGGGUACACGAGCGGCGAACGGGUGAGUAACACGUGGGUGAUCUGCCUCGCACUUCGGGAUAAGCCUGGGAAACUGGGUCUAAUACCGGAUAUGACCUGCUGUCGCAUGGCGGUGGGUGGAAAGAUUUAUCGGUGCGAGAUGGGCCCGCGGCCUAUCAGCUUGUUGGUGGGGUAAUGGCCUACCAAGGCGACGACGGGUAGCCGGCCUGAGAGGGCGACCGGCCACACUGGGACUGAGACACGGCCCAGACUCCUACGGGAGGCAGCAGUGGGGAAUAUUGCACAAUGGGCGAAAGCCUGAUGCAGCGACGCCGCGUGAGGGAUGACGGCCUUCGGGUUGUAAACCUCUUUCGACAGGGACGAAGCGCAAGUGACGGUACCUGUAGAAGAAGCACCGGCCAACUACGUGCCAGCAGCC